GAGUAAGACGAGGAUCAAAGGCAAAGACAGACCAGACUGCUUUUUGGGCACCCCAACACCUAGACGAGCACUGAGGGAGGAGCUUCCUAGAGUCACGGUGGCACAGCUGGAGUCACCAGUCAUUUCCAGAUGGAGCUAAGAGGAUUGUUGUGAAUAAAUCCAGCUGGAAAAUGUCUGCAGUUGAGGAAGUGUGUGCUGAUGACUGGAAUACUGCACUGUCCCAUGAGUUUGUUCCCUUUGCUGUGUGCUCCAUCCCUUGUUAACUAGUAUGUGAGAGAUUAUGGCACCAAGCAGAAAUAAUGUGGGCCUGAGUUGAAUUAAUUCUCUUCCCUACAUUCCCUUGAACAA
This 348-nucleotide long non-coding RNA is filed under the name Phasianus colchicus (ring-necked pheasant). RNAcentral's name for it is "lncRNA (ENSPCLG00000004803.1)". Lineage: Eukaryota; Metazoa; Chordata; Aves; Galliformes; Phasianidae. The record is from RNAcentral.